Molecule: ribosomal RNA, 301 nt
Filed under: uncultured bacterium
Lineage: Bacteria
Description: partial 16S ribosomal RNA
Rfam family: Bacterial small subunit ribosomal RNA
Source: RNAcentral
CAGUAGCCGCGGGAAUACGUAGGUGGCAAGCGUUGUCCGGAAUUAUUGGGCGUAAAGGGUUCGCAGGCGGUUUCUUAGGUCUGAUGUGAAAGCCCCCGGCUCAACCGGGGAGGGUCAUUGGAAACUGGGAAACUUGAGUGCAGAAGAGGAGAGUGGAAUUCCACGUGUAGCGGUGAAAUGCGUAGAGAUGUGGAGGAACACCAGUGGCGAAGGCGACUCUCUGGUCUAUAACUGACGCUGAGGAGCGAAAGCGUGGGGAGCGAACAGGAUUAGAUACCCCUGUAGUCCCUGUCUCUUAUAC